AAAUUUGUUGGCUGCUUGAGCUGGGAUAUUCAUCUUUCUCCUGAUCUUGGACAUCAGAACUCCUGAUUCUCAAGCCUUUGGGUUUGGACUGGAGGCACCAGCUUUCCUGGGCCUCCAGCUUGCAGAUGGCAUAUCAUGGAACUUCUCAGCCUCCAAAUUCAUAACUCUAAUACACCAGUACAAUGGAAAGAUUCCUAAAUUCAAAAGCCAGAAGGCUGGGUUCCUGUUCCCACCCUGCCUUUUACCUUCUGUGUGUUCCUGAUGAAGACACUUCAUGCUCCACUAUUUACUUACCUCUGAAACGAAGGGCUGACCCAGAUCAGUUGUUCUCUGACCUGCUUGGAGGGACUCAGAGGCUGUGGAGACUGUGGCCCUCCUUGGCCUCUGUGGAAUCUGGCCAUUUGAAUCCUGUCAGCCCUGUUCUCCAUCACCAAAGGACUCCGGAGGAACUGUGCCAAGCAGGCUGUCAGCCACGGGCAAGCUUUCUGAAAAAGACGUGCCAACUGCAGCCACAGAAAGUCCAUUCCCUUGAAUAACUUUGCUAAUAUUUGAAAAUUAGUUCCCUUGCUCCUG
Molecule: long non-coding RNA, 573 nt
Organism: Homo sapiens (human)
Lineage: Eukaryota; Metazoa; Chordata; Mammalia; Primates; Hominidae
Product: long intergenic non-protein coding RNA 1559
Source: Ensembl